RNAcentral lists this ribosomal RNA (485 nucleotides) under uncultured bacterium. RNAcentral describes it as "partial 16S ribosomal RNA". It matches the Rfam family "Bacterial small subunit ribosomal RNA", at positions 30 to 507 of the family's 1533-position model. The record is from RNAcentral.
AUUGAACGCUGGCGGCAGGCCUAACACAUGCAAGUCGAGCGGAUGAAGGGAGCUUGCUCCUGGAUUCAGCGGCGGACGGGUGAGUAAUGCCUAGGAAUCUGCCUGGUAGUGGGGGAUAACGUCCGGAAAACGGGCGCUAAUACCGCAUACGUCCUGAGGGAGAAAGUGGGGGAUCUUCGGACCUCACGCUAUCAGAUGAGCCUAGGUCGGAUUAGCUAGUUGGUGGGGUAAAGGCCUACCAAGGCGACGAUCCGUAACUGGUCUGAGAGGAUGAUCAGUCACACUGGAACUGAGACACGGUCCAGACUCCUACGGGAGGCAGCAGUGGGGAAUAUUGGACAAUGGGCGAAAGCCUGAUCCAGCCAUGCCGCGUGUGUGAAGAAGGUCUUCGGAUUGUAAAGCACUUUAAGUUGGGAGGAAGGGCAGUAAGUUAAUACCUUGCUGUUUUGACGUUACCAACAGAAUAAGCACCGGCUAACUUCGUG